RNAcentral lists this ribosomal RNA (590 nucleotides) under uncultured bacterium. RNAcentral describes it as "bacterial SSU rRNA". It matches the Rfam family "Bacterial small subunit ribosomal RNA", at positions 33 to 624 of the family's 1533-position model. The record is from RNAcentral.
ACGCUGGCGGAUGUUUAACAUGCAAGUUGAGCGGCAAGCGCGGGGCAACUGGCGGCGAGCGGCGAACGGGUGAGUAAUGCAUCGGAACGUGUCAUGUCGUGGGGGAUAGCCCGGCGAAAGCCGGAUUAAUACCGCAUACGCCCGAGAGGGGAAAGUGGGGGACCGCAAGGCCUCACGCGAUUGGUUCGGCCGAUGUCGAUUAGCUAGUUGGCGGGGUAAAGGCCCACCAAGGCGGUGAUCGGUAGCUGGUCUGAGAGGAUGAUCAGCCACACUGGGACUGAGACACGGCCCAGACUCCUACGGGAGGCAGCAGUGGGGAAUUUUGGACAAUGGGGGCAACCCUGAUCCAGCCAUUCCGCGUGAGUGAAGAAGGCCUUCGGGUUGUAAAGCUCUUUUGUCCGGAACGAAACGGGUAACGUGAAUAUCGUUGCCUACUGACGGUACCGGAAGAAUAAGCACCGGCUAACUACGUGCCAGCAGCCGCGGUAAUACGUAGGGUGCGAGCGUUAAUCGGAAUUACUGGGCGUAAAGGGCGCGUAGGCGGGAUGGCAAGUCGGUCGUGAAAUCCCUCGGCUCAACUGAGGAUCGUC